Molecule: long non-coding RNA, 203 nt
Organism: Microtus ochrogaster (prairie vole)
Lineage: Eukaryota; Metazoa; Chordata; Mammalia; Rodentia; Cricetidae
Exons: 3
Source: RefSeq, a predicted model, not a curated record
AAGAACAAGCAGGCCCUCCUUCCAAAAGGCAUGGACCGAGAUUGGAAAAGUCUCAAACCAUCCAGAAAAUGAAUCUAUACAUACGUUUGCCAUCACACGUAAAGCUACUCCCGUCUGUGUACCAGAUAAGCACAGACUUCACCUUUGUCAAGGAAACUUCUCAUUGCAACAGACAGAUCACUGCAGAAAACCACAACCAAUUA